This is a long non-coding RNA of Vespula vulgaris, 573 nucleotides long. RefSeq lists it as uncharacterized. The record is from RefSeq and is a predicted model, not a curated record. The transcript is spliced from 3 exons. NCBI's taxonomy places the organism in Eukaryota, Metazoa, Arthropoda, Insecta, Hymenoptera, Vespidae.
GCCGUUACGAGAAAUGACGUCGAAUUCACGCCGUCCUCUUAAUUAAGAUGGCUGAUAUGAUUUUUAUAUUGUAAUAAAAGAAAAAUCUUUCUAUAAAGUAGAAUCAGUGUUUGUUCGAUAAAUGAAAUUUUGCACGCGUUAUAAAGAUUUAAACAUACAUAUUAGUUUUUGCUGCGUGCAAUGCAGUAAUUUAGUUAAUUUAGUUAACUAGUAUAAAAAGUUAUUUUUUUUUUGCAUUUAUUCAUAUUAUACUUACAUAAUAAAAUAUAAUGUAUUUCGUGAAGGUAAAUUCAGUGUCGGUCUUUUAACUAAUAAAUAAUUAAAGUGUAUCAAAAUCAGUGCAUCACGGAAAAUGAAGAACGACAACACACUCUUCUUUAUGGACUUUACGAUCAUCAUUACGAUCGUAUCAUGUUAAUCUACGAUUUCAACCUAUUUGAGAUAAAUCCACUUCAUUUUCAAACAACUUCAAUGUUGACCUACAUCAUAUGCAACGCACUAUAGAUCAACUCACCUCAAUUUCGACGUAUAACACGGACGAGUGUUUUGGAGCCAUCAGAGAACUUCUAAAGC